UAUUUCUUAUCAAAAAUAAUGCUACAAAACUGCCUCUAAAUCCAGCAGUGGUAGCGGUAGUAAAGUAGACUUAUAGCACAAAUCAGUCUUGUUGAGACCCAACGAACGAGCCUCUGCUGUGGGUCCCACACACAGGCGUAUUGGAUAACAUAUUUGGAAUAACCUAUCCCGGCGCCUGACGUCAGCACGCAAACAAUUACGUUCAUUUCAUAGCCUAGUUUUUUUGCACGCAGCGUCGACUCGCAUCUACAGUCUGUAGUUCUGUUUUUAAAGACUUAAUUCAGUAGUUUCCGCUCUGUUUAUGGUUGACAUUUGGACACAUGAGUGUCCACCGUGCGCUCCGUUAACGCACAGAGAGGAAGAAGACGUCGCACCACGUAAAAAGCAACGUGACCCGCAGGAGCUCCAGGGAAGCAUCUGCAGCAUGACACACUCCGCUGCUGCGUGCUGCUCUUUGAUCGUCCCCAUCCCUCACAAAUCGUUUCUCUUUUACGCCUUUUUCUUUUUGCAGCCUGGCUAGAAACGUUAUGGAAACUACAAGAUUGAAAUCUACAGUCGUUUCCGCUGGUUAAUGGCUCGUUCUGGCUCGGUCUUCCUGCAAGGUGUUGACUCAGGUGCUUCAGUCAAGCAAAGUGCAGGUUUGGAGAUCGCUGCUCAGUCGAGGUCCCUCUCCUGCCGGCUUCAGUACCCAAAACGGACUCUCUGUCCGGUGCCGUCAGGACUUCACAGUGCAGCUGACUGUGAGGGGACAGAGGGAGGAUGGAGAGUGCUGCGGGUGAGGAGGGGUGAGGAGUGUAGGUGUCUUCUAUGGCACAGUUGUGAUAACACCCUCUGCCAGGCAGCAUGCUGCUAUAUUGUGCUUUAACAUCACGUGGCGUCGAGCUACAGCUUUUUGAUGCAUUCUUCCCUCCACCCGACAAAUCCACAUUUUGGCUCUGUCUCCCAAGAGUCCUCAGUGGUGCCUUCCUCCACCCGGUCCUCCAACGACGUGCAGCCACAGAGGCUGCGGCCACAGAGGCUGCACGUCGCUCACCACAUCUAUCAAAGGCUGCCAAAAAAAAAUGAUGCUGGGUGCAACUAAAGAGGGAGACGCGUCAUUCAAAUAGAACAAUGGACACCAGUUUUACAAUGGUCAAUGCAUAAGCGGUGCGAAAUGCGUUUGGGUUUCUGUACACGUCGUCCACAGCAGCCGGUGUGGGUGAGAGAGGUAGAGAGGUAGAGAGAGAGAGAGAGGUAGAGAGAGAGAGAGAGAGAGAGAGAGGGGAGGGAGAGGGAGAGAGAGAGGUGGAGGGGACCAGCGACGCAGCAGCUCCGCGCACACUGUCAUCCGAAGCUGGUGAGGAGAUGUUGGGAUGCGGGAGCGGAUGCUGGCAGCAGUAUCGCCUCGGCCUCGGCUUGUCUCUGGUCACUGAAGCAAAAGUAAUGCCAGUGUUUUAAAAACACUUCUGUGGGUCGGAUCAACUCACUGUGCAGGUUUACUCUCAGUACAGUGGAGGCUUGCAACGUUUGGGUUUCUCCCUGGACUCCUGGCUCUUAGAGUUUGGUUACACUUGAUGAGAUGAUGGUAGAAACUUGCGUUGAAUUACUGAAUGGACUUGAACCGGAGAUGCGGGAUUUAUUCCAAGUUGUUGGCUUGAAUGUGCGGAGUGCAGACAGAAGCAAAGUCACAUAGAAAUACACACACCCCGUCUGCAGGCCUGCAUCUGAACCUGCAGGACAUUGGGUCAGCAGAGACUCACACCACGUCCUGCUCUGAGGAUCAGAGGUCACACAACGGGUCAGAACAAGGCUUCAUCACUCCAGAAUUACAGAGCAGGAAGAAGAGGAGGAGGAGGAGGAGGAGGAGGCAGUGGAGGAGGAAAAAGAGAAGCAGAGUGGGUGGAAGGAUGGAAGGAGAGAAGGAUAGAAGCAGUUCGAGGAGGUGGUUCGAAGCGGGUGAACCCAGAGCAGGUGAACACAGCUGUGGAUCGCCAUGGGCUCUCUGGCUGCCUUCCUCCUGUGGCCCCGGCGCUGCAUACAGGGGUCCCGGGGAGCCGGCAGGGGCCAGCCAAAGCUGCGGCAGAGUGGGCAGGCUAGGCCAGCCAAGCCAGGAGAGAGGCAGGUGAGGCGGGUGAGCUGAGCUCUCAUCCCCGCCGGCUAGGAGCCUCCGCGGCAGAGUGGAGCAGCGCGGAGCAGCAGAAAUCAAUACAGAGGAGAUAGGCUAGCAGAGGUUGCCCAGCACCGCCUGCAGGCCUCGGAGCCCAGGGACCAACCACUACCACUGCUCCCAGCUCCUCCCUCCAUCUCUCUUUCUAUCUUUCUCCAACAGUCCCAGCACCAGCCAGGGCCAGGGCCCUAACCCUGCAACCGCCCCACACGCAGUGUGUGUGUCAGUGUGUAAAAUAGAGAGAGAAAAAGGGAGAGAGAAGAGACAGUGAGAGUCUUUGUGUGUGGUUCAGCCGGAGGGGUUUUUGCUGCGUCCAACACCACUUGAUAAAACUUUGUCAGAGAGACACAGAGACAGCGAGGGAGGGAGAGAAAUGGAAGAAGAAGAAGACAGGACGUCGAAGGUCUCUUUUCUUCCAGCUCCCUCCCUCUUAUUACUCAUUCCACCUUAACUGUUUGAAUAAGGAUCCAUCAGAGACGGUACACAGGACGUUUUUGCUCAGUCCCACUUCCAAGCACAUAGCGCACAGUAUUCCUAAGAUCGCAUGAGCCAGGAUGAAAGGACAAUUUGAACUUUUUCUCUCAUCCACUAUAUCAGACACAACCUGUCUUUUUGCCUUAGAUUUUCUUAUCCUCACUACAGCAGCUCCCAUCAGAGGAUAUGGCAGUGCAGUAUUGAUCUAUAAAGUGGAAGAGAGUAAGGCGGGCCUGGGCUUUCAUACCUCUCUCUUUCUCUCUUAUGUGUGUGGAAAUAGCACCUGAAGUCCACUUACUGCUGUGCAGCAGGGAUCCCUUGGCAGCACAAGUGAAUGGCUGCUAAUUGAAUGAGAGAUGAAAAGGACAGUAGUUGUACCAGUUCAUUGCCCACCUCCUCCUGUCUGAUACUACUUGGUUUUUCAUGUGACUUUUUUCUCCUCCACGUUUACAAAAGUCCUUUUCCACACAAAGAGACUCGCUCUACAGAUGUUUUAGCAAAAUUGGUUGUGACUAAAGAAAAUUGGCAAAAUCCUCAGGAAUGAAAAAACCUGGUUUACAUCAGUGUAGAGGUGAAUGCCCUCAGUAGAAAACAGAGAGGAGAAAAGUACUUUUUCAUGCAGUGGUAGAAAUAUCCGACUGAAAACUUUUGAGAGGUCAUGCCACAAAACGCACUGUACUGUACAUAUUUGUGGACUUGGAAGGACAUUACAGGACAGAUGGACAGUUUUCCAAGUAUGAAAACUUAACGGGAUUCAUACCUCUUGAUGCAGCCAGUCAAAAAUGCCACCAAGAUUGAAAAGCAGCGAUUGAGCUUCCACCAUUGGACAAAGCACACAGGUUGUCUGUAGCCAAUUUCUCUGAACAUGUUUAGCCUUGGCCACAUAUGGAAAAUGCCACCUCUACACCUGCAAGAACAGUCAGUUAGACACACACCAUUAGAGUCGGAUUAUCAGUUGUGUAGUCUGCGGUCUUUGUGGAUGGGGACAGGUAAGUUGGAGCCGCUUCUAAAAGGUAAGUUUAGAGGUUGAAUCAAUUUAUGAGCUGUCUGAAGUGUAAAAUAGAGCUGCCGAGCAAUAUUUUCCUAAAUUAGUUUCAUUAGAGAUGAAGUACUAUAUUUGAGACCAAUUUUAGGUCGGAGAUUGGAUGAGACCCCAAGGGGUCCUUCUUUUCACUCAGUAAUUUACAUUCAAGUAUUUGACUGUAAAAUCGUUUGACAAGAGUUUGUUGCUGUUGAAUUACUUUCCCCUUUUCUGUGGGAUAUUAUGUACACAUACUGUACAUAUUUAUACAAUCUUUUUCAUAGUGUAAUGAACUAAUUUAUCAUAAAAUGUUAGAUGAGAUUCGCAAAUGCCAAAAGUGUUGCCCUGAUAUGAUAUGUUUUCAAUAAAGUUGAACAAUUUGUGAAAUGAAAA
Molecule: long non-coding RNA, 4034 nt
Organism: Siniperca chuatsi (mandarin fish)
Lineage: Eukaryota; Metazoa; Chordata; Actinopteri; Centrarchiformes; Sinipercidae
Exons: 4
Source: RefSeq, a predicted model, not a curated record